CAACUCGCCUGCAUGAAGUCGGAAUUGCUAGUAAUCGCGGAUCAGCAUGCCGCGGUGAAUACGUUCCCGGGCCUUGUACACACCGCCCGUCACACCAUGGGAGUCGGUAACACCCGAAGCCGAUAGUCUAACGAAAGAGGACGUCGUCGAAGGUGGGAUUGAUGACUGGGGUGAAGUCGUAACAAGGUAUC
RNAcentral lists this ribosomal RNA (191 nucleotides) under uncultured bacterium. Its description in RNAcentral is "partial 16S ribosomal RNA". It matches the Rfam family "Bacterial small subunit ribosomal RNA", at positions 1308 to 1500 of the family's 1533-position model. The record is from RNAcentral.